GUCAAUUUUAGCAUUUAAUUGAAAGUUUUUUAUUUUUUAUUUUGUAAAUCAAUUUUGUGUGGACAUUUGAAUUUAAGUAAUGUUAGAGAUACUAAAUUUUUUAAAUUAAAUGACAAAUCAAAUGACGUGUCACCAAUAAGAAACAAGUACGUUAACCAGCACUUAAUUAACAAUUCAAUUAUGUACAAUCACAUCAUUUAGUUUGCAAAUUAAAUUUAAAAAUUUUGAUCUCCCAUAUCAUCCUUUGAAUUUAGAAUCUCCUUUAACCCUGAAAAGAAAGAUAAUGUUUGGCUAAUAGUUUAUUUGUCUAUUAUUGGUCAAACAAACAAAUUCUAAGUAACGUGGCAUGUAUAUGUUACUUGUCAUGUUAGAUGUUACUUGUCACGUUAAAUGGUACACUAAUAUAAUACAAAAUAUUUAUGUAGCAUUUUUCAUACAAUAAAAUGAAUCCAAGUCAAACACUAAUGAUUUGAGCAAGUUUACUUUUUCUAGGUUUCAUAUUGAAUUAUUAGGUAUCGUUUGGUAUGCAGA
This 531-nucleotide long non-coding RNA is filed under the name Malus domestica (apple). RNAcentral's name for it is "long non-coding RNA (MDOM_LNC016479)". The record is from RNAcentral. Lineage: Eukaryota; Viridiplantae; Streptophyta; Magnoliopsida; Rosales; Rosaceae.